This 1214-nucleotide ribosomal RNA is filed under the name uncultured organism. Its description in RNAcentral is "bacterial SSU rRNA". It matches the Rfam family "Bacterial small subunit ribosomal RNA", at positions 104 to 1293 of the family's 1533-position model. The record is from RNAcentral.
GGGUGAGUAACGCGUGGACGAUCUACCCAAGGAUUCGGGAUAACCUUGCGAAAGCGGGGCUAAUACCGGAUAGUCCUGGCAUAUUGAACGAUGCCUGGUAAAGGUGGCCUCUGAUUCAAGCUAUUGUCUUUGGAUGGGUCCGCGUCCCAUUAGCUUGUUGGUAGGGUCAAGGCCUACCAAGGCGACGAUGGGUAGCUGGUCUGAGAGGAUGAUCAGCCACACUGGGACUGGAACACGGCCCAGACUCCUACGGGAGGCAGCAGUGGGGAAUAUUGGGCAAUGGGCGCAAGCCUGACCCAGCAACGCCGCGUGAGGGAAGAAGGUCUUCGGAUCGUAAACCUCAGUCAGGAGGGAAGAAGUGGGUCGUCUUUAACAGGGACGGCCUUUGACGGUACCUCCAGAGGAAGCACCGGCCAACUCCGUGCCAGCAGCCGCGGUAAUACGGAGGGUGCAAGCGUUAUUCGGAAUCACUGGGCGUAAAGCGCACGUAGGCGGCUUUGCAAGUCAGGUGUGAAAGCCCUCGGCUCAACCGAGGAAUUGCACUUGAAACUGUAGAGCUGGAGUUCGGGAGAGGGUGGCGGAAUUCCAGGUGUAGGAGUGAAAUCCGUAGAUAUCUGGAGGAACACCAGAGGCGAAGGCGGCCACCUGGACCGAAACUGACGCUGAGGUGCGAAAGCGUGGGGAGCAAGCAGGAUUAGAUACCGUGGUAGUCCACGCCGUAAACGAUGGAUGCUAGAUGCUGGGUGUGUAAGACAUCCGGUGUUGUAGUUAACGCGUUAAGCAUCCCGCGUGGGGAGUUCGGUUGCAAGGAUGAAACUCAAAGAAAUUGACGGGGGCCCGCACAAGCGGUGGAGUAUGUGGUUUAAUUCGAUGCAACGCGAAGAACCUUACCUGGGCUUGACAUCCCGGGAAUCCCCUGGAAACAGGGGAGUGCCCUUUGGGGCACCCGGUGACAGGUGCUGCAUGGCUGUCGUCAGCUCGUGCCGUGAGGUGUUGGGUUAAGUCCCGCAACGAGCGCAACCUUUGUCCUUAGUUGCCAUCAGGUAAAGCUGGGCCCUCUAGGGAGACUGCCGAGGUGAACUCGGAGGAAGGUGGGGAUCACGUCAUAGUCAUCGAUGGCCCUUACGCCCAGGGCUACACACGUACUACAAUGGUGGGCACAAAGGGAAGCCAAGCCGCGAGGUGGAGCCAAUCCCAAAAAGCCUACCCCAGUU